GGGUUGUGAGGUUAAGCGACUAAGCGUACACGGUGGAUGCCCUGGCAGUCAGAGGCGAUGAAGGGCGUGCUAAUCUGCGAUAAGCGCCGGUAAGGUGAUAUGAACCGUUAUAACCGGCGAUACCCGAAUGGGGAAACCCAGUGUGAUUCGUCACACUAUCAUUAACUGAAUCCAUAGGUUAAUGAGGCGAACCGGGGGAACUGAAACAUCUAAGUACCCCGAGGAAAAGAAAUCAACCGAGAUUCCCCCAGUAGCGGCGAGCGAACGGGGAGGAGCCCAGAGCCUGAAUCAGCAUGUGUGUUAGUGGAAGCGUCUGGAAAGGCGCGCGAUACAGGGUGACAGCCCCGUACACAAAAGCGCAUGUGCUGUGAGCUCGAUGAGUAGGGCGGGACACGUGGUAUCCUGUCUGAAUAUGGGGGGACCAUCCUCCAAGGCUAAAUACUCCUGACUGACCGAUAGUGAACCAGUACCGUGAGGGAAAGGCGAAAAGAACCCCGGCGAGGGGAGUGAAAAAGAACCUGAAACCGUGUACGUACAAGCAGUGGGAGCACAGGUUUACCUGUGUGACUGCGUACCUUUUGUAUAAUGGGUCAGCGACUUAUAUUCUGUAGCAAGGUUAACCGAAUAGGGGAGCCGGAGGGAAACCGAGUCUUAAUUGGGCGUUAAGUUGCAGGGUAUAGACCCGAAACCCGGUGAUCUAGCCAUGGGCAGGUUGAAGGUUGGGUAACACUAACUGGAGGACCGAACCGACUAAUGUUGAAAAAUUAGCGGAUGACCUGUGGCUGGGGGUGAAAGGCCAAUCAAACCGGGAGAUAGCUGGUUCUCCCCGAAAGCUAUUUAGGUAGCGCCUCGUGAAUUCAUCUCCGGGGGUAGAGCACUGUUUCGGCUAGGGGGCCAUCCCGGCUUACCAACCCGAUGCAAACUGCGAAUACCGGAGAAUGUUAUCACGGGAGACACACGGCGGGUGCUAACGUCCGUCGUGAAGAGGGAAACAACCCAGACCGCCAGCUAAGGUCCCAAAGUCAUGGUUAAGUGGGAAACGAUGUGGGAAGGCCCAGACAGCCAGGAUGUUGGCUUAGAAGCAGCCAUCAUUUAAAGAAAGCGUAAUAGCUCACUGGUCGAGUCGGCCUGCGCGGAAGAUGUAACGGGGCUAAACCAUGCACCGAAGCUGCGGCAGCGACACUGUGUGUUGUUGGGUAGGGGAGCGUUCUGUAAGCCUGUGAAGGUGUGUCGUGAGGCAUGCUGGAGGUAUCAGAAGUGCGAAUGCUGACAUAAGUAACGAUAAAGCGGGUGAAAAGCCCGCUCGCCGGAAGACCAAGGGUUCCUGUCCAACGUUAAUCGGGGCAGGGUGAGUCGACCCCUAAGGCGAGGCCGAAAGGCGUAGUCGAUGGGAAACGGGUUAAUAUUCCCGUACUUGGUGUUACUGCGAAGGGGGGACGGAGAAGGCUAUGUUGGCCGGGCGACGGUUGUCCCGGUUUAAGCGUGUAGGUGUGUGUUCCAGGUAAAUCCGGUUCACUUUAACACUGAGGCGUGACGACGAGGCACUACGGUGCUGAAGCAACAAAUGCCCUGCUUCCAGGAAAAGCCUCUAAGCAUCAGGUAACAUCAAAUCGUACCCCAAACCGACACAGGUGGUCAGGUAGAGAAUACCAAGGCGCUUGAGAGAACUCGGGUGAAGGAACUAGGCAAAAUGGUGCCGUAACUUCGGGAGAAGGCACGCUGACACGUAGGUGAAGUGAUUUACUCAUGGAGCUGAAGUCAGUCGAAGAUACCAGCUGGCUGCAACUGUUUAUUAAAAACACAGCACUGUGCAAACACGAAAGUGGACGUAUACGGUGUGACGCCUGCCCGGUGCCGGAAGGUUAAUUGAUGGGGUCAGCGCAAGCGAAGCUCCUGAUCGAAGCCCCGGUAAACGGCGGCCGUAACUAUAACGGUCCUAAGGUAGCGAAAUUCCUUGUCGGGUAAGUUCCGACCUGCACGAAUGGCGUAAUGAUGGCCAGGCUGUCUCCACCCGAGACUCAGUGAAAUUGAACUCGCUGUGAAGAUGCAGUGUACCCGCGGCAAGACGGAAAGACCCCGUGAACCUUUACUAUAGCUUGACACUGAACAUUGAGCCUUGAUGUGUAGGAUAGGUGGGAGGCUUUGAAGUGUGGACGCCAGUCUGCAUGGAGCCGACCUUGAAAUACCACCCUUUAAUGUUUGAUGUUCUAACGUGGACCCGUUACCCGGGUUGCGGACAGUGUCUGGUGGGUAGUUUGACUGGGGCGGUCUCCUCCUAAAGAGUAACGGAGGAGCACGAAGGUUGGCUAAUCCUGGUCGGACAUCAGGAGGUUAGUGCAAUGGCAUAAGCCAGCUUGACUGCGAGCGUGACGGCGCGAGCAGGUGCGAAAGCAGGUCAUAGUGAUCCGGUGGUUCUGAAUGGAAGGGCCAUCGCUCAACGGAUAAAAGGUACUCCGGGGAUAACAGGCUGAUACCGCCCAAGAGUUCAUAUCGACGGCGGUGUUUGGCACCUCGAUGUCGGCUCAUCACAUCCUGGGGCUGAAGUAGGUCCCAAGGGUAUGGCUGUUCGCCAUUUAAAGUGGUACGCGAGCUGGGUUUAGAACGUCGUGAGACAGUUCGGUCCCUAUCUGCCGUGGGCGCUGGAGAACUGAGGGGGGCUGCUCCUAGUACGAGAGGACCGGAGUGGACGCAUCACUGGUGUUCGGGUUGUCAUGCCAAUGGCACUGCCCGGUAGCUAAAUGCGGAAGAGAUAAGUGCUGAAAGCAUCUAAGCACGAAACUUGCCCCGAGAUGAGUUCUCCCUGAGACUUUAGAGUCUCCUGAAGGAACGUUGAAGACGACGACGUUGAUAGGCCGGGUGUGUAAGCGCAGCGAUGCGUUGAGCUAACCGGUACUAAUGAACCGUGAGGCUUAACCUUACAACGCCGAAG
RNAcentral lists this ribosomal RNA (2929 nucleotides) under Salmonella enterica subsp. enterica serovar Enteritidis. Its description in RNAcentral is "bacterial LSU rRNA". It matches the Rfam family "Bacterial large subunit ribosomal RNA". The record is from RNAcentral. Lineage: Bacteria; Pseudomonadati; Pseudomonadota; Gammaproteobacteria; Enterobacterales; Enterobacteriaceae.